This 244-nucleotide long non-coding RNA is filed under the name Homo sapiens (human). RNAcentral's name for it is "non-protein coding MEF2C-AS1:42". Lineage: Eukaryota; Metazoa; Chordata; Mammalia; Primates; Hominidae. The record is from RNAcentral.
GUUUCUAGAGCUCGGAGGCUGCUGGUAGGGGGGCACCACUUUCAGAUAAAAACAUAGACCUGAAUGGCAUCAUCCAGUAUCCAAGGAAACCAUGUUCUCUAAACAUGAAUAUGCCUUUGGGGGAAGACAGAAGAACAUGGAAGCCAUGUGAAAAAAACGGAUCCUAAGGCAGUUUUGAACAUCUGGAGGCCUGAUUUAUUGGAGAUUGCAAAUGUACAGUGUAACAUAGCUGUGGAGAGAAACC